Molecule: long non-coding RNA, 715 nt
Organism: Apis laboriosa (Himalayan honeybee)
Lineage: Eukaryota; Metazoa; Arthropoda; Insecta; Hymenoptera; Apidae
Exons: 3
Source: RefSeq, a predicted model, not a curated record
AACUCUUCUUUUGGCGAGCACACGUCGAUUUGUACGCAGCCGUUUUUGCUAAAAAAAAAUAAAUAUAAUGAGUUUUAAAAAGAGAGACUCAGAAAUAAGAAAGAUUUAGAAAUAGAAAGAAAAAAGAAGGAAAGAUUACAAAGAAGGUUAGAGAAGAAAGUAUAUACCUGUGUAUAUACAUGAAAUGUGUAUUUGUGAUGUAAAAGGAGAUUAUAUAGUGAACGACCAAAAGUGAGAACAAAAAACUAUAGGAAAGAAUGUGGGAAGAAUGUAGAAAAGAAAGGGAUAAAAGUGCGGCGAUUAUUGCAUUUUAUCGAUUGAUUCGACUCAUAUUUCUGGCAUCCAUCCAAGGAUCCGAUUGCCGCGUUAUGAUAAAUUGAAUCGAAACCGACUAUUUGGUAACGUUGGACUCCUUUCCUCCUGGCCCUCGAUAAAAUCUGGUGAAUUUCUCUUUGUGAUUUCAUUGUUAUUAUAUUCCUCGAGAUGGCGCCUCUUGGACGACUUGUCGGAAUCGCUGCUACCUUCCGAAUCUGUGCAACUGUGUGGCGAUGUAGUCCUGUGCGCCGUUCUUAAGUGCCUGUUCAUAUUAUCAUUAAUGGGAACUCGCAGAGCUGAGAACUUUGUUGCAAAUACCGCAACAGUAAUCAUCUUCACCGCUGCAAUCUGUGCUGCGGGGUGAACUAUGACCACGUAAAUGAUUUGUUAACUCUCUGGA